CUAGUUGGUGAGGUAACUGCUCACCAAGGCUACGAUAGGUAGGGGAUCUGAGAGGACUACCCCCCACACUGGUACUGAGACACGGACCAGACUCCUACGGGAGGCAGCAGUAAGGAAUAUUGGUCAAUGGAGGCAACUCUGAACCAGCCAUGCCGCGUGCAGGAAGAAGGCCCUAUGGGUCGUAAACUGCUUUUAUACGGGAGAAAACCUGGGUACGUGUACCCAGUUGAUAGUACUGUAAGAAUAAGGAUCGGCUAACUUCGUGCCAGCAGCCGCGGUAAGACGAAGGAUCCAAGCGUUAUCCGGAUUCAUUGGGUUUAAAGGGUGCGUAGGCGGACUUAUAAGUCAGUGGUGAAAGCCGAUAGCUUAACUAUCGAACUGCCAUUGAUACUGUAGGUCUAGAGUAUAGAUGAUGUCGGCGGAAUAUGACAUGUAGCGGUGAAAUGCAUAGAUAUGUCAUAGAACACCGAUUGCGAAGGCAGCUGACAAAACUAUAACUGACGCUGAUGCACGAAAGUGCGGGGAUCAAACAGGAUUAGAUACCCUGGUAGUCCGCACAGUAAACGAUGAUAACUAGAUGUUUGCGAUAUACAGUAAGCGUCCAAGCGAAAGCGAUAAGUUAUCCACCUGGGGAGUACGCUCGCAAGAGUGAAACUCAAAGGAAUUGACG
This 670-nucleotide ribosomal RNA is filed under the name uncultured Bacteroidota bacterium. RNAcentral's name for it is "SSU rRNA". It matches the Rfam family "Bacterial small subunit ribosomal RNA", at positions 245 to 915 of the family's 1533-position model. Lineage: Bacteria; Pseudomonadati; Bacteroidota. The record is from RNAcentral.